This 362-nucleotide long non-coding RNA is filed under the name Glycine max (soybean). RNAcentral describes it as "long non-coding RNA (GMAX_LNC001911)". The record is from RNAcentral. Lineage: Eukaryota; Viridiplantae; Streptophyta; Magnoliopsida; Fabales; Fabaceae.
UCAGGUCGAGUUCGUCGUUUCCUCCGCCGCUUUCGCCGGUGGAUCCAGUGGUGGAAUGUGAGCUGCUGCUGCUGCUUUCUUCAGUGAUGAUGUCAGGGCUGAGGCAGCGUUGCUUUUUGGAAGGUGGCGGAGCGGCGGCGGCGGAAAUGGUGGUGGCCGGGAAGUUGAGCUUGGCCUUGUCGCCGCGGAUGCGUAUGGCGGCGUCGUCGUAGGCUUGGGCGGCUUCUUCGGCGGUGGGGAAGGUGCCGAGCCAGACACGAACACCCUUGUGUGGGUCCCUUAUCUCCGCGGCCCACUUGCCCCAUGGCCUUUGCCUGAUUCCUCUGUACACGUUUUUACGAGCUCGCCCACUAUCACUCUUC